AAAAUAACACUUCAACAUAUUUUUAAAGGCUGAAUUAGCAGUGUUGUCUCCUGAGCUAAGAUGUUGAAUAGGCAGGAUAACAGCAUAAAUGAAAAAAAGGAGUGUCAAGAUAGAAAAUAAUCAUACUGCACACUUCUUCACGAACACAUAUUGAGCUGAGGCAGGGUAAAGAAGAAGCAAAAUUCGAUAAUGAAGGAUUGACUUUUCACUGUAGUACUCCAUCUUAAGUGAUUCAGAUUUCUCGUUUCUUCUAUACUUGUGCAUAGUAUCAGAAAAGAUUUCAAUGACUUGGAAAAAUAUUUCAAUGACUUGGGCUGGUGAAAAAUACUUCUUCAUCAUUUCCGGUGCAACCAUGGAAGUUGGAGUCUUGAGAGAAAAAGGAUUUAAAAGUGUCUCCAUUGGUUUCAUUUCAUUCGAUGCCUAAGGUGUGGGAAUACUAAAGGCAACCACAAAUUUUCUCACCUGAAAUUUUUCCUUUCUCUCCUCUGGAGCUGACCAGUGAUCCAACAUUUUAAAAACUCUUAUCAAAUGAAGAGUUAAACUUUGGUAGAGGACAUGAUUGUAUGUAAGUAUAUUCUACAUAUGUGUGUGUGUGUAUAUACUUACAUGCACGUGUGAUUCUAACAUUACAUUAAAGUAUAUUCUACAGCUAUAUGUGUCAAAACAUCUAUGUUAUAUAUAAUUUUCAUUUGUUAUGAUUGUUUAUUAACUAUAAAAGCAGUUGAUAAAAUAAAUAUGAUGGGAAUUUUCUA
Long non-coding RNA from Hyaena hyaena (striped hyena), 752 nucleotides. RefSeq lists it as uncharacterized. The record is from RefSeq and is a predicted model, not a curated record. The transcript is spliced from 3 exons. NCBI's taxonomy places the organism in Eukaryota, Metazoa, Chordata, Mammalia, Carnivora, Hyaenidae.